This 119-nucleotide ribosomal RNA is filed under the name Danio rerio (zebrafish). Lineage: Eukaryota; Metazoa; Chordata; Actinopteri; Cypriniformes; Danionidae. The record is from RNAcentral.
GCUUACGGCCAUACCACGCUGGCAAUGCCCGAUCUCAUCUGAACUCGGAAGUAAAGCAGGGUUGGGCCUGGUUAGUACUUGGAUGGGAGACCGCCUGGGAAUACCAGGUGCUGUAAGCU